RNAcentral lists this ribosomal RNA (465 nucleotides) under uncultured Thiobacillus sp. RNAcentral's name for it is "bacterial SSU rRNA". It matches the Rfam family "Bacterial small subunit ribosomal RNA", at positions 913 to 1382 of the family's 1533-position model. The record is from RNAcentral. Lineage: Bacteria; Pseudomonadati; Pseudomonadota; Betaproteobacteria; Nitrosomonadales; Thiobacillaceae.
ACGGGGACCCGCACAGGCGGUGGAUGAUGUGGAUUAAUUCGAUGCAACGCGAAGAACCUUACCUACCCUUGACAUGUCCGGAACUUGCCAGAGAUGGCUUGGUGCCCGAAAGGGAAUCGGAACACAGGUGCUGCAUGGCUGUCAUCAGCUCGUGUCGUGAGAUGUUGGGUUAAGUCCCGCAACGAGCGCAACCCUUAUCAUUAGUUGCUACGCAAGGGCACUCUAAUGAGACUGCCGGUGACAAACCGGAGGAAGGUGGGGAUGACGUCAAGUCCUCAUGGCCCUUAUGGGUAGGGCUUCACACGUCAUACAAUGGUCGGUACAGAGGGUUGCCAAGCCGCGAGGCGGAGCCAAUCCCACAAAGCCGAUCGUAGUCCGGAUUGUUCUCUGCAACUCGAGAGCAUGAAGUCGGAAUCGCUAGUAAUCGCAGGUCAGCAUACUGCGGUGAAUACGUUCCCGGGUCUU